ACAGGGGGAUAACACUUAGAAAUAGGUGCUAAUACCGCAUAAGCGCACGGUUCCGCAUGGAACAGUGUGAAAAACUCCGGUGGUAUACGAUGGAUCCGCGUCUGAUUAGCCAGUUGGCGGGGUAACGGCCCACCAAAGCGACGAUCAGUAGCCGGCCUGAGAGGGUGAACGGCCACAUUGGGACUGAGACACGGCCCAAACUCCUACGGGAGGCAGCAGUGGGGAAUAUUGCACAAUGGGGGAAACCCUGAUGCAGCGACGCCGCGUGAGUGAAGAAGUAUCUCGGUACGUAAAGCUCUAUCAGCAGGGAAGAAAAUGACGGUACCUGAUUAAGAAGCCCCGGCUAACUACGUGCCAGCAGCCGCGGUAAUACGUAGGGGGCAAGCGUUAUCCGGAUUUACUGGGUGUAAAGGGAGCGUAGACGGCAGCGCAAGUCUGGAGUGAAAUGCCGGGGCCCAACCCCGGAACUGCUUUGGAAACUGUGCAGCUCGAGUGCAGGAGAGGUAAGCGGAAUUCCUAGUGUAGCGGUGAAAUGCGUAGAUAUUAGGAGGAACACCAGUGGCGAAGGCGGCUUACUGGACUGUAACUGACGUUGAGGCUCGAAAGCGUGGGGAGCAAACAGGAUUAGAUACCCUGGUAGUCCACGCCGUAAACGAUGAUUACUAGGUGUCGGGGGGCCAAGGCCCUCCGGUGCCGGCGCAA
This 702-nucleotide ribosomal RNA is filed under the name uncultured bacterium. Its description in RNAcentral is "bacterial SSU rRNA". It matches the Rfam family "Bacterial small subunit ribosomal RNA", at positions 135 to 854 of the family's 1533-position model. The record is from RNAcentral.